Molecule: long non-coding RNA, 335 nt
Filed under: Nicotiana benthamiana
Lineage: Eukaryota; Viridiplantae; Streptophyta; Magnoliopsida; Solanales; Solanaceae
Description: long non-coding RNA (NBEN_LNC004082)
Source: RNAcentral
AUUUGGGGCCUAAGUAAAGGGCCUGUUAGCUCCCUGUAUGCAAUGCUAUUUUCUGCCGUGACACUUCCUUCCCUAAGAUGUGCUGCUUAUGUUAUUCUUUCAACUGAACCUGUGUCUCACUUAGCUUUGCACUCUGUUGACAAGACAGGUUCCUCUGAUGGAGAUGCUUGCAAGAACCAGGACACUGACGGUUCUACUACUGCCGACAAGACAAGUUCCUCUGAUGGAGAUGCUUACAACAACCAGGACAUUGAUGGUUCUACUGAAGAAAGUCUUCAUCUUAGGGAAGAAGUUUCUUCCCUGCUGGAAAAACUACCAUUUGAAGCUCUUGAAAU